ACGCUCUUGGCUCCUAUUUGGUGACUUUUAUUUUUCUACUCAGCCACGCCCCUGGCUCCAAGAUGCAGCCAAUCCGAAAAUGUCCUUAGCAAAACUAUGCUGGGGAUUUAUUUCCGUAGUGUGUGUGAAUGAAGCCUGGAGGGAAUGGGAAAUCCUAAGGAGGUGGCAACAAGAAGAGGAAAUAGGAGAUCUUUUUUUCCUCAUUUUGCCUCCAAAAUAAGGAGGCAAAGAGCAAGUCACACUGAAUGCAAUGGAUAAAAUUACUUUGGACUUACUCUGAAUUUUCUGCCGUUGGCCUCCUGGAAACUCUCACCCAUGUAUUGCUAUAUUGCUCUUUAUAUCGGGAUGCUAGAGAAGAACUUAUUUCCCCUCUGUUACUCAAAUUUCCCGGAAGGUGUGAGCUCUUUUAUACAUAUUAUUGCCUCGCGGAUUCAAGCCCCGGGAUUACAACAAUUGUGGCUAAAUUUUUCUACAUUGCCAUUAGGUUAAGGUCCCUGUUAGGUGCUGAACUGCGAGAGCUGUCUAUUGUUUUUAAGUAAUUUAUUAUGAGUGAUUGCAUUCUGUUUUAUUGUGUGUUAGCAUUGUUUUAUUUAUCGUUGUAUUGAGUAUAUUUGUUACUCCUAUUUCUGCUGGCCAAUGUCCGUAAUAAAAUUGAUGAUGAUGUUUGUUGU
Molecule: long non-coding RNA, 671 nt
Organism: Hemicordylus capensis (graceful crag lizard)
Lineage: Eukaryota; Metazoa; Chordata; Lepidosauria; Squamata; Cordylidae
Exons: 3
Source: RefSeq, a predicted model, not a curated record